AAUGGGUCAGCGACUUAUAUUCUGUAGCAAGGUUAACCGAAUAGGGGAGCCGAAGGGAAACCGAGUCUUAACUGGGCGUUAAGUUGCAGGGUAUAGACCCGAAACCCGGUGAUCUAGCCAUGGGCAGGUUGAAGGUUGGGUAACACUAACUGGAGGACCGAACCGACUAAUGUUGAAAAAUUAGCGGAUGACUUGUGGCUGGGGGUGAAAGGCCAAUCAAACCGGGAGAUAGCUGGUUCUCCCCGAAAGCUAUUUAGGUAGCGCCUCGUGAAUUCAUCUCCGGGGGUAGAGCACUGUUUCGGCAAGGGGGUCAUCCCGACUUACCAACCCGAUGCAAACUGCGAAUACCGGAGAAUGUUAUCACGGGAGACACACGGCGGGUGCUAACGUCCGUCGUGAAGAGGGAAACAACCCAGACCGCCAGCUAAGGUCCCAAAGUCAUGGUUAAGUGGGAAACGAUGUGGGAAGGCCCAGACAGCCAGGAUGUUGGCUUAGAAGCAGCCAUCAUUUAAAGAAAGCGUAAUAGCUCACUGGUCGAGUCGGCCUGCGCGGAAGAUGUAACGGGGCUAAACCAUGCACCGAAGCUGCGGCAGCGACGCUUAUGCGUUGUUGGGUAGGGGAGCGUUCUGUAAGCCUGUGAAGGUGUGCUGUGAGGCAUGCUGGAGGUAUCAGAAGUGCGAAUGCUGACAUAAGUAACGAUAAAGCGGGUGAAAAGCCCGCUCGCCGGAAGACCAAGGGUUCCUGUCCAACGUUAAUCGGGGCAGGGUGAGUCGACCCCUAAGGCGAGGCCGAAAGGCGUAGUCGAUGGGAAACAGGUUAAUAUUCCUGUACUUGGUGUUACUGCGAAGGGGGGACGGAGAAGGCUAUGUUGGCCGGGCGACGGUUGUCCCGGUUUAAGCGUGUAGGCUGGUUUUCCAGGCAAAUCCGGAAAAUCAAGGCUGAGGCGUGAUGACGAGGCACUACGGUGCUGAAGCAACAAAUGCCCUGCUUCCAGGAAAAGCCUCUAAGCAUCAGGUAACAUCAAAUCGUACCCCAAACCGACACAGGUGGUCAGGUAGAGAAUACCAAGGCGCUUGAGAGAACUCGGGUGAAGGAACUAGGCAAAAUGGUGCCGUAACUUCGGGAGAAGGCACGCUGAUAUGUAGGUGAAGUCCCUCGCGGAUGGAGCUGAAAUCAGUCGAAGAUACCAGCUGGCUGCAACUGUUUAUUAAAAACACAGCACUGUGCAAACACGAAAGUGGACGUAUACGGUGUGACGCCUGCCCGGUGCCGGAAGGUUAAUUGAUGGGGUCAGCGCAAGCGAAGCUCUUGAUCGAAGCCCCGGUAAACGGCGGCCGUAACUAUAACGGUCCUAAGGUAGCGAAAUUCCUUGUCGGGUAAGUUCCGACCUGCACGAAUGGCGUAAUGAUGGCCAGGCUGUCUCCACCCGAGACUCAGUGAAAUUGAACUCGCUGUGAAGAUGCAGUGUACCCGCGGCAAGACGGAAAGACCCCGUGAACCUUUACUAUAGCUUGACACUGAACAUUGAGCCUUGAUGUGUAGGAUAGGUGGGAGGCUUAGAAGUGUGGACGCCAGUCUGCAUGGAGCCGACCUUGAAAUACCACCCUUUAAUGUUUGAUGUUCUAACGUUGACCCGUAAUCCGGGUUGCGGACAGUGUCUGGUGGGUAGUUUGACUGGGGCGGUCUCCUCCUAAAGAGUAACGGAGGAGCACGAAGGUUGGCUAAUCCUGGUCGGACAUCAGGAGGUUAGUGCAAUGGCAUAAGCCAGCUUGACUGCGAGCGUGACGGCGCGAGCAGGUGCGAAAGCAGGUCAUAGUGAUCCGGUGGUUCUGAAUGGAAGGGCCAUCGCUCAACGGAUAAAAGGUACUCCGGGGAUAACAGGCUGAUACCGCCCAAGAGUUCAUAUCGACGGCGGUGUUUGGCACCUCGAUGUCGGCUCAUCACAUCCUGGGGCUGAAGUAGGUCCCAAGGGUAUGGCUGUUCGCCAUUUAAAGUGGUACGCGAGCUGGGUUUAGAACGUCGUGAGACAGUUCGGUCCCUAUCUGCCGUGGGCGCUGGAGAACUGAGGGGGGCUGCUCCUAGUACGAGAGGACCGGAGUGGACGCAUCACUGGUGUUCGGGUUGUCAUGCCAAUGGCACUGCCCGGUAGCUAAAUGCGGAAGAGAUAAGUGCUGAAAGCAUCUAAGCACGAAACUUGCCCCGAG
Molecule: ribosomal RNA, 2204 nt
Filed under: Escherichia coli
Lineage: Bacteria; Pseudomonadati; Pseudomonadota; Gammaproteobacteria; Enterobacterales; Enterobacteriaceae
Description: partial 23S ribosomal RNA
Rfam family: Bacterial large subunit ribosomal RNA
Source: RNAcentral